AUUUUUAAUUUGUGAUUUUUCGUUUUCUAUCAUGAAACCGUAUAAACUAAAGAAAAUUUGUUAAAAAAUAUGAAUUAUUUAAAUUUGUAUAUUUUACAUGACCUCUUUACAAAAGUUGUUAAAGGGGCAACACAUUGUUGUACUUAAUUAAGAGACAGCUAAUAAUUAUAAACAAAAAAUGGAAGUCUUUUCACAACUCUGAAAGUACUAUAAAAACUUUUUAUUAAUUGAUGUAAGGAGAACAAUAGCUUUAUAAAUCAAGACGUGAUAAACUACAAUUCUAUGUAAUACAUCCAAAAGGUGGAGAAAAUAUGGAUAAAAUUUUCAAGUUUGUUAAUGUUGUGAUAAUCAUUCUUUCCCUAUUAAUUGUUUCAAUACAAAGUCAGGUUUAUGCUGCCAAGCCAUGUAAAACUGAUGGUGAUUGUCGAGUCCGUUACUACCGUGCUUCCCAUCAAUAUCCUGUAAGAAUGAGGUGUCGUAAUGGUUUUUGUAUAGAAGGCUAAUUAUAAACGUAUUACUAAAAUAUUCCAUGAAUUCUUCUUUAGGUGAUGUGAUCACCCAUUAAAUAAUUUUUUUUUUAGCUUUUCAAAUUUCACGUACUUUAUUAGUUUUGUACUUUAAGAUGAUGCAAGCAAAAUGAAAUAAAGCAUGAAAAAUAUUAUCUAAA
Trifolium pratense (red clover) is the source of this 667-nucleotide long non-coding RNA. RefSeq lists it as uncharacterized. The record is from RefSeq and is a predicted model, not a curated record. NCBI's taxonomy places the organism in Eukaryota, Viridiplantae, Streptophyta, Magnoliopsida, Fabales, Fabaceae. The transcript has 2 exons.